RNAcentral lists this long non-coding RNA (1051 nucleotides) under Androctonus crassicauda. Lineage: Eukaryota; Metazoa; Arthropoda; Arachnida; Scorpiones; Buthidae. The record is from RNAcentral.
GAGAUUAUCAAAAUUAAUGCAUUCUCGAAGAAGAAAAUUUAUACAUAAUGUAGGUUUUAAAUAUAUUUAGCGUAACGCAAUAUUUUAAAUCUAUGGAGAAACUUUUCUAUAGAAGUAUCAAAUUUGAUCCAUUAAGAUGUUUCUUAUCUAAGGCUUUACGAAUAUCAAAUAUCGAGACAAUAAAAGUUACGUUUCCUGUGCAUCCAAGCCAUCUUUCUUGUCCACAUGACUCCGGGGUUCGCAACCUGAACCCUGAGGUCGUGUACGUCUGGCAGUAUUUUCACACCUGCUUGUUACCAGGUGUGCAGCUAGAUGUAAUAAUCACUCUCAUCAAAGUAAUUCUAGAAUCAAAUAACUAGGUAUCCCAUGAAACAACUUAGAUACUAAAAAAACAAGCCGUAUUUCAUAAUUACUUCGGAAGAGAGCGAGAAAUAACGAAACAGUUUUUUGAACUCUUACAUACAAUAAUGUUCCCCACAGCGUAAUUUUUUUUUUUUCAGUAAACGAAAUUCAUAUCUAAAAAGUAGUCUAAAAAUAUUCUAUUCUUUUUUUUUUAAUUUGACCUCCCAGAAUAUACUUAAAACAUUCCUUCUACACUUAGAAAUCUUUCAUUUGACCUGUUCCAGCAGACUUCAGCAGGAACUCUUUUUUAAUCGAGUGAACAAAGUUUAACUUUUAAAUUAAUAAAAUAAUUUAAAAUACUCGGAAAUAAUUUAUUGGCUUUAAUUACAUUUUCUAAUUUUCUCUAACGAUAAGCUUAUUAUAUUUAGGUCUGAGACUCUCUCCUUACCUCCUACAGCUCUUUAAUUAGGUCUAUUUACGUUUUCUAGGAACGUUUCCAUAAACAAAGAACUCAACAAAAUACCUUUAGGGAACGAUCUACUGUACUACAUCAUGGUCAUUAUUACGUUUUUUUUCUGUAAAUAGUUAGAAUAUAAGCAGUGUGUUUUCAGUAAGUUAAAAAGUAAACUAACGUAUAACUUAUUAUUAUUUUAAUAUUUAUGAAAAUAUACUUCUAAAAAAAAGAAAGUUUUACUUUUCAAGAAACAUC